This 1505-nucleotide ribosomal RNA is filed under the name uncultured bacterium. RNAcentral describes it as "bacterial SSU rRNA". It matches the Rfam family "Bacterial small subunit ribosomal RNA". The record is from RNAcentral.
GAGUUUGAUCCUGGCUCAGAUUGAACGCUGGCGGCAGGCCUAACACAUGCAAGUCGAACGGUAGCACAGAGGAGCUUGCUCCUUGGGUGACGAGUGGCGGACGGGUGAGUAAUGUCUGGGAAACUGCCCGAUGGAGGGGGAUAACUACUGGAAACGGUAGCUAAUACCGCAUAACGUCGCAAGACCAAAGAGGGGGACCUUCGGGCCUCUUGCCAUCGGAUGUGCCCAGAUGGGAUUAGCUAGUAGGUGGGGUAACGGCUCACCUAGGCGACGAUCCCUAGCUGGUCUGAGAGGAUGACCAGCCACACUGGAACUGAGACACGGUCCAGACUCCUACGGGAGGCAGCAGUGGGGAAUAUUGCACAAUGGGCGCAAGCCUGAUGCAGCCAUGCCGCGUGUAUGAAGAAGGCCUUCGGGUUGUAAAGUACUUUCAGCGAGGAGGAAGGCGUUGUGGUUAAUAACCGCAGCGAUUGACGUUACUCGCAGAAGAAGCACCGGCUAACUCCGUGCCAGCAGCCGCGGUAAUACGGAGGGUGCAAGCGUUAAUCGGAAUUACUGGGCGUAAAGCGCACGCAGGCGGUCUGUCAAGUCGGAUGUGAAAUCCCCGGGCUCAACCUGGGAACUGCAUCCGAAACUGGCAGGCUAGAGUCUUGUAGAGGGGGGUAGAAUUCCAGGUGUAGCGGUGAAAUGCGUAGAGAUCUGGAGGAAUACCGGUGGCGAAGGCGGCCCCCUGGACAAAGACUGACGCUCAGGUGCGAAAGCGUGGGGAGCAAACAGGAUUAGAUACCCUGGUAGUCCACGCCGUAAACGAUGUCGACUUGGAGGUUGUGCCCUUGAGGCGUGGUUUCCGGAGCUAACGCGUUAAGUCGACCGCCUGGGGAGUACGGCCGCAAGGUUAAAACUCAAAUGAAUUGACGGGGGCCCGCACAAGCGGUGGAGCAUGUGGUUUAAUUCGAUGCAACGCGAAGAACCUUACCUACUCUUGACAUCCAGAGAACUUAGCAGAGAUGCUUUGGUGCCUUCGGGAACUCUGAGACAGGUGCUGCAUGGCUGUCGUCAGCUCGUGUUGUGAAAUGUUGGGUUAAGUCCCGCAACGAGCGCAACCCUUAUCCUUUGUUGCCAGCGGUUCGGCCGGGAACUCAAAGGAGACUGCCAGUGAUAAACUGGAGGAAGGUGGGGAUGACGUCAAGUCAUCAUGACCCUUACGAGUAGGGCUACACACGUGCUACAAUGGCAUAUACAAAGAGAAGCGACCUCGCGAGAGCAAGCGGACCUCAUAAAGUAUGUCGUAGUCCGGAUUGGAGUCUGCAACUCGACUCCAUGAAGUCGGAAUCGCUAGUAAUCGUGGAUCAGAAUGCCACGGUGAAUACGUUCCCGGGCCUUGUACACACCGCCCGUCACACCAUGGGAGUGGGUUGCAAAAGAAGUAGGUAGCUUAACCUUCGGGAGGGCGCUUACCACUUUGUGAUUCAUGACUGGGGUGAAGUCGUAACAAGGUAACCGUA